GAGGAAUAUUGGUCAAUGGGCGAGAGCCUGAACCAGCCAAGUAGCGUGAAGGAUGAAGGCUCUAUGGGUCGUAAACUUCUUUUAUAUGGGAAUAAAGUAUUCCACGUGUGGAAUUUUGUAUGUACCAUAUGAAUAAGGAUCGGCUAACUCCGUGCCAGCAGCCGCGGUAAUACGGAGGAUCCGAGCGUUAUCCGGAUUUAUUGGGUUUAAAGGGAGCGUAGGUGGAUUGUUAAGUCAGUUGUGAAAGUUUGCGGCUCAACCGUAAAAUUGCAGUUGAAACUGGGAGUCUUGAGUACAGUAGAGGUGGGCGGAAUUCGUGGUGUAGCGGUGAAAUGCUUAGAUAUCACGAAGAACUCCGAUUGCGAAGGCAGCUCACUAGACUGUUACUGACACUGAUGCUCGAAAGUGUGGGUAUCAAACA
This 421-nucleotide ribosomal RNA is filed under the name uncultured Bacteroides sp. RNAcentral's name for it is "bacterial SSU rRNA". It matches the Rfam family "Bacterial small subunit ribosomal RNA", at positions 356 to 774 of the family's 1533-position model. Lineage: Bacteria; Pseudomonadati; Bacteroidota; Bacteroidia; Bacteroidales; Bacteroidaceae. The record is from RNAcentral.